RNAcentral lists this ribosomal RNA (579 nucleotides) under uncultured bacterium. RNAcentral describes it as "bacterial SSU rRNA". It matches the Rfam family "Bacterial small subunit ribosomal RNA", at positions 112 to 704 of the family's 1533-position model. The record is from RNAcentral.
AACACGUGAGUAACCUGCCCCCGACCCUGGGAUAAGCCUGGGAAACUGGGUCUAAUACCGGAUAUGCACCGUGGACCGCAUGGUUCUUGGUGGAAAGAUUUUUCGGUCGGGGAUGGACUCGCGGCCUAUCAGCUUGUUGGUGAGGUAAUGGCUCACCAAGGCGACGACGGGUAGCCGGCCUGAGAGGGUGACCGGCCACACUGGGACUGAGACACGGCCCAGACUCCUACGGGAGGCAGCAGUGGGGAAUAUUGCACAAUGGGCGAAAGCCUGAUGCAGCGACGCCGCGUGAGGGAUGACGGCCUUCGGGUUGUAAACCUCUUUCAGUAGGGAAGAAGCGAAAGUGACGGUACCUGCAGAAGAAGCGCCGGCUAACUACGUGCCAGCAGCCGCGGUAAUACGUAGGGCGCAAGCGUUAUCCGGAAUUAUUGGGCGUAAAGAGCUCGUAGGCGGUUUGUCGCGUCUGCCGUGAAAGUCCGGGGCUCAACCCCGGAUCUGCGGUGGGUACGGGCAGACUAGAGUGAUGUAGGGGAGACCGGAAUUCCUGGUGUAGCGGUGAAAUGCGCAGAUAUCAGGAGG